RNAcentral lists this ribosomal RNA (487 nucleotides) under uncultured bacterium. Its description in RNAcentral is "bacterial SSU rRNA". It matches the Rfam family "Bacterial small subunit ribosomal RNA", at positions 29 to 507 of the family's 1533-position model. The record is from RNAcentral.
AUUGAACGCUAGCGGCAUGCCUUACACAUGCAAGUCGAACGGCAGGCACGGGGGCAACCCUGGUGGCGAGUGGCGAACGGGUGAGUAAUGCAUCGGAACGUGCCCAUCGAUGGGGGAUAACUGCGCGAAAGCGUUGCUAAUACCGCAUACGACCUACGGGUGAAAGCAGGGGACCGCAGGGCCUUGCGUCGAUGGAGCGGCCGAUGCCGGAUUAGCUAGUUGGUGAGGUAAAGGCUCACCAAGGCGACGAUCCCGUAGCUGGUCUGAGAGGACGACCCAGCCACACUGGGACUGAGACACGGCCCAGACUCCUACGGGAGGCAGCAGUGGGGAAUCUUGGACAAUGGGCGAAAGCCUGAUCCAGCAAUGCCGCGUGUGGGAAGAAGGCCCUCGGGUUGUAAACCACUUUUGGCGGGAAAGAAAUGGUCUGUGCUAAUACCACGGAUUGAUGACGGUACCCGCAGAAUAAGCACCGGCUAACUACGUG